GCUUGUCUCAAAGAUUAAGCCAUGCAUGUCUAAGUAUAAAUCUUUUACUUUGAAACUGCGAACGGCUCAUUAUAUCAGUUAUAGUUUAUUUGAUAGUCCCUUACUACUUGGAUAACCGUAGUAAUUCUAGAGCUAAUACAUGCGUCAAUACCCUUCUGGGGUAGUAUUUAUUAGAUUGAAACCAACCGCUUCGGCGUGAUGUGGUGAUUCAUAAUAACCGAACGAAUCGCAUGGCUUUGCUGGCGAUAUAUCUUCUAAGUUUCUGACCUAUCAGCUUUCGACGGUAAGGUAUUGGCUUACCGUGGCAAUGACGGGUAACGGAGAAUUAGGGUUCGAUUCCGGAGAGGGAGCCUGAGAAACGGCUACCACAUCCAAGGAAGGCAGCAGG
RNAcentral lists this ribosomal RNA (388 nucleotides) under Asterionella formosa. Its description in RNAcentral is "partial small subunit ribosomal RNA". It matches the Rfam family "Eukaryotic small subunit ribosomal RNA", at positions 30 to 432 of the family's 1831-position model. Lineage: Eukaryota; Bacillariophyta; Fragilariophyceae; Tabellariales; Tabellariaceae. The record is from RNAcentral.